This 404-nucleotide ribosomal RNA is filed under the name uncultured bacterium. RNAcentral describes it as "bacterial SSU rRNA". It matches the Rfam family "Bacterial small subunit ribosomal RNA", at positions 355 to 776 of the family's 1533-position model. The record is from RNAcentral.
UGGGGAAUAUUGCACAAUGGGGGAAACCCUGAUGCAGCGACGCCGCGUGAGUGAAGAAGUAUUUCGGUACGUAAAGCUCUGUCAGCAGGGACGAUAAUGACGGUACCUGACCAAGAAGCCCCGGCUAACUACGUGCCAGCAGCCGCGGUAAUACGUAGGGGGCAAGCGUUAUCCGGAUUUACUGGGUGUAAAGGGAGCGUAGACGGCAAGGCAAGUCUGGAGUGAAAGGCCGGGGCCCAACCCCGGGACUGCUCUGGAAACUGUCAGGCUGGAGUACGGGAGAGGUAAGUGGAAUUCCUGGUGUAGCGGUGAAAUGCGUAGAUAUCAGGAGGAACACCAGUGGCGAAGGCGGCUUACUGGACCGUGACUGACGUUGAGGCUCGAAAGCGUGGGGAGCAAACAGG